Molecule: non-coding RNA, 96 nt
Filed under: Lessardia elongata
Lineage: Eukaryota; Dinophyceae; Peridiniales; Podolampadaceae
Source: RNAcentral
UUUUUUUUUUUUUUUUUUUUUUCUGUUGCUUCCUCAGCAUGGUAGUCGUACACAGACGCUUUGAUGCUGUCAGUAAAAGAAUACAUGAGAACAUUC